UCCCUGGCGGUCCAGUGGUUAAGACUCUGUGCUAACAACACAGGGGGCCCAGGUUCGAUCCCUGGUCAGGGAG
Molecule: transfer RNA, 73 nt
Filed under: Balaenoptera physalus (Fin whale)
Lineage: Eukaryota; Metazoa; Chordata; Mammalia; Artiodactyla; Balaenopteridae
Also listed under: 1 other name
Rfam family: tRNA
About the family: Transfer RNA (tRNA) molecules are approximately 80 nucleotides in length. Their secondary structure includes four short double-helical elements and three loops (D, anti-codon, and T loops).
Source: Rfam by way of RNAcentral